AAGUAAAUCUUAGGAUGCAUUAAUAAUUGAUAUAGUUUAGUAUUUUCUUGUGUGUGGUGUAGGGUGGGGGACCUUACUAUCUAAUAGGUCGAGCCCUUGGUCCUGAAGUUGGAGUUAGCAUUGGUCUAUGCUUCUUCCUUGGAAAUGCUGUUGCUGGAGCACUUUAUGUAUUGGGAGCUGUAGAAACAUUUUUGAAAGCAGUUCCUGCUGCUGGGAUCUUUAGAGAGGCUGCCACACAAGUUAACGGGACUGCAGUUACACAACCAAUAGAGAGUCCAAGUUCUCAUGACUUGCAAAUAUAUGGGAUUGUUGUGACUAUUUUGUUAUGCUUUAUUGUAUUUGGAGGUGUGAAGAUGAUAAAUCGGGUUGCACCUGCUUUUCUCAUACCUG
This is a non-coding RNA of Vigna umbellata (rice bean), 390 nucleotides long. NCBI's taxonomy places the organism in Eukaryota, Viridiplantae, Streptophyta, Magnoliopsida, Fabales, Fabaceae. The record is from RefSeq and is a predicted model, not a curated record.